This 504-nucleotide ribosomal RNA is filed under the name alpha proteobacterium BAC36P. Its description in RNAcentral is "bacterial SSU rRNA". It matches the Rfam family "Bacterial small subunit ribosomal RNA", at positions 968 to 1493 of the family's 1533-position model. Lineage: Bacteria; Pseudomonadati; Pseudomonadota; Alphaproteobacteria. The record is from RNAcentral.
ACCUUACCACCUUUUGACAUGCCUGGACCGCCAGAGAGAUCUGGCUUUCCCUUCGAGGACUAGGACACAGGUGCUGCAUGCCUGUCGUCAGCUCGUGUCGAGAGAUGUUGCGUUAAGUCCCGCAACGAGCGCAACCCUCGCCAUUAGUUGCCAUCAUUUAGUUGGGAACUCUAAUGGGACUGCCGGUGCUAAGCCGGAGGAAGGUGGGGAUGACGUCAAGUCCUCAUGGCCCUUACAGGGUGGGCUACACACGUGCUACAAUGGCGACUACAGAGGGUUAAUCCUUAAAAGUCGUCUCAGAUCGGAUUGUCCUCUGCAACUCGAGGGCAUGAAGUUGGAAUCGCUAGUAAUCGCGGAUCAGCAUGCCGCGGUGAAUACGUUCCCGGGCCUUGUACACACCGCCCGUCACACCAUGGGAGUUGGAUCUACCCGAAGGCGAUGCGCUAACCCGCAAGUUAGGCAGUCGACCACGGUAGGGUCAGCGACUGGGGGGAAGUCGUAACA